Molecule: transfer RNA, 88 nt
Filed under: Trametes sanguinea
Lineage: Eukaryota; Fungi; Basidiomycota; Agaricomycetes; Polyporales; Polyporaceae
Also listed under: 1 other name
Description: tRNA-Thr
Rfam family: tRNA
About the family: Transfer RNA (tRNA) molecules are approximately 80 nucleotides in length.
Source: RNAcentral
UCCCGUUUAGCUCAGUUGGUAGAGCGCGUCACUAGUACCAUGUAAUUGGUCAAUGACGAGGUCAGUCGUUCGAGUCGGCUAAUGGGAA